UCGCGAAACCUUUGCAAUACACGAAAGUGUGACAGGGUCAUCCCGAGUGCCGACCGCUGAGGUUGGCUUUUACCCAGUCUAGAAAGCUGGGGGAAUAAGGAGAGGGCAAGUCUGGUGUCAGCCGCCGCGGUAAUACCAGCUCUCCGAGUGGUGUGGACGUUUAUUGGGCCUAAAGCAUCCGUAGCUGGCUGAUCAAGUCCCCUGUUAAACCCACCGAUUUAAUCGUUGGCUUGCGGGGGAUACUGCUCGGCUAGGGGACGAGAGAGGCAGACGGUAUUCCCGGGGUAGGGGUGAAAUCCUAUAAUCCCGAGAAGACCACCAGUGGCGAAGGCUGUCUGCUAGAACGCGCCCGACGGUGAGGGAUGAAAGCUGGGGGAGCGAACCGGAUUAGAUACCCGGGUAGUCCCAGCUGUAAACGAUGCAGACUAGGUAUUUGGACGGCCACGUGCCGUUCUAGUGCCGCAGGGAAGCUGUUAAGUCUGCCGCCUGGGGAGUACGAUCGCAAGAUUGAAACUUAAAGGAAUUGGCGGGGG
This 533-nucleotide ribosomal RNA is filed under the name uncultured archaeon. Its description in RNAcentral is "bacterial SSU rRNA". It matches the Rfam family "Archaeal small subunit ribosomal RNA", at positions 339 to 874 of the family's 1478-position model. The record is from RNAcentral.